Gasterosteus aculeatus aculeatus (three-spined stickleback) is the source of this 10543-nucleotide long non-coding RNA. The record is from Ensembl. Lineage: Eukaryota; Metazoa; Chordata; Actinopteri; Perciformes; Gasterosteidae.
AGGUUAGCUUGGCAACAUGCUAAAAUGUCCAUCAGAGCCGACUCUCUUCAGUAGUCCGUAGGAUUCAUCCUCUGGGGACCGUGGAUGUCAAUCCAUUGCACUGUUGUGGUGGAACGAGAGCCGUACCAUGUUAGCAUUGCUAACACUCUGAUUGGAGUUGGUCGAGUCUAAUUCCCCCGAUCGGUGCAGUGAAAAUCUGCAUACAUUCAAAAGUGUGUGAAACCUGGUAGUCCUCUUAUUCUUAUUCUUAUUCGCUCACGUGAGGAGCCGAGAGCUGAUGAAGUGCAGUAAAACAUUCAUCCCCAAGAUGUCGUAUACAGUGUACUCACUGAUUCAUAAACCGUGUAACAGCAGCAGAAUCGUGGUAUUAGUGUGAGCAUCCGACAUCCCGCCCAGAUCCCAUCUGAUGGGAUGAUCCUCUCUGACGAGCCCCUGAACACAACAUCACACAAGCUGAGUGAUGUCCUUUUAAGGGCUGACAUAGAAACAACAAUUACAUUUCUAUUUUGGUAUUACCUCUUUUGUUGAAAAUAGAAACAUUGAGGACGUUGUUGAGCCGUGGGCCCUCUGGGGAAAUCUGGAGAUAAUUAGUGAAUUCCAGCCCUGCUUGGCUCUGCCUCUCUUCAUACUUCCCCAGAGACCAGGACCUGUCAGUGUGUGAGGAGGUGUGCGAGUGUGUGUGUGUGUGUGUGUGUGUGUGUGUGUGUGUGUGUGUGUGUGUGUGUGUGUGUGUGUGUGUGUGUGUGCCACGCCCUUGGCCAUUGGGAAGGGUUCAGUCCACAAUUAAAUCCUUAUUAUCUCCUUUAGUACCAAAUUACAAAAAUUACUUCAGUGCCCUAUGAGGCGAGAUUGGCGUGACCACAGGAAGCAAGACAAGAGGUUAGGGUUCAAGGGUCAAACCGGUGACCUGCAGGGCUGCUGUUUCCAGGAUGCUUCCCCCUCUCUCUUUUAGCCCUGCAUACUGCAGGUCAAUUUAUUUUUUGUUAUUUUGAUGCUUUAGAUUUGAUGCUUUAUUGAUUUGUUAUUUAGCUUCACUCCUUUCUUCAAAGAGCGCACCGAGUUGUCUUGAGCGGGCGGUUUUCCAGGGGGGCGGCAAGCCAUUGUGUGCCCUUUCUUGUGCACAAACUGUAAAGGCACAGUGCUGAUUAAAGGCUGGAAGACGCUCCUAUGCAUUCGUAAUAUGGAAAGCACAUGGCUGUUCAUUCAGAAUCAGAAAUGAGAAUGAAUAAUAUAGACUGUAAUCUUAACGAGAUCCUUUGCCAAUUUUCAACCAGCUUUGAUUUGUUCUGAUGUGGGCGGUGUGGGCCAAUGAACUCCUUUGCUUCAUCAUAAAAAGAAGUAUAUGCAGGAAAGAGAUAAAAACGAGUCAUCUCCAUGGACAGAGCAAAGGCUCUUCGACCCACCACCCAACAGCAGGAAGUGGAAUAUGCAGAUAAUGAGACACUUCACAUCAAUCAAGCUUGGGCUGGUGGUUGGUUGUUGUUACGCCAAUGUGACGUUGGAGUGCAACAAACGCGAUAACAUAUUGUGUCUUCAGCGAUGCAGCUCAGAGGUGCUAAAUGCCAGAAAAAGGUUGCUGAUCCUCAUUGUGAGAUAUCAAAACGACAAAAUAUGCAACUAUAUUUGGGCCGUGUGCUUGGAGCAAUUCUUGGACCCCUUCUGAGACAUGUAGAGUUGGAUCCAUAAUAUAAUAUCAGGCAUUAUGCUAUAACACCAACAACAAAAUGUAACAAAAUGAACUAAUAGAUAUCGCCUUACACUACAUUUUUCGCUUUCUGAAAUGUUAUAUUUUAAUAUGUAAAUGAAGUCUAAAUAUUGGAUGAGUCCAAAACUCAUUUUGAGUCAGAUGUUUUGUUAUUUACUUAUUUAUUUAAAAAAAACAAAUAAGUAAAUAAAUAAGAAAAUAAUGUCAGCCACCCAAAAAAUACAUAUAUUUUGCCCAUGCAAUAUAUAUAAAGAUGUAUCUAUAUAUACAGCAUAUGUCAUAUAUUACCUUCACUGGUAGACAUUGGACUCCUUUCUUUUUUUUUACUCUUGUAAUUCUUCUCCUUGCUUUUCCCAGCAUCAGUUACAUAACUGUAACUGGCAGGCCGAUGCCGAUCAGUCUCGGGGGGGUUGUAAGUGGGUCACGAGGCCCUGCGGCCCCGAGGCCCAUCUCCUUGCCUCGCCGUGCCCGCUGUGAAUGCCUGAGAAAUGGGUGGAGGAUAUACUGUAGCGGACAGCUUGCCAGGGCGGGUGGGGGGGUUGUUGCUGGAGAGGAGCCACAUCCAUUGGGGACAUCAGUGACCCUGUAGCUGCCACACAUUGGUGUCCGCUCGUAAUGAUUCAUUAAUGGGCCCAUUAGAAUCUGUCAUGAUUCCAAUGUAUCGGGGUUUGGCCGAUCAACCUCAUGGCGACGCCCGAAACAGCGGUGUACAUCCUUUGGCUGUUGCCAUGAGGUUGGCCGACAUAAAACCAAAUGAUUAGCUCUGCACUUACACAAGGCCGACCUUUUAAUUCCGGCCUUUUACUGGAUUUCUAUCCACUUUCCCUUUAAUUCUCUCUGACUCUCCUACUGCGGAGGACUCUCUGACACAGGCAAAGCGUCGGAUCUUCAUGACAAGCACGUUCCGGGUGAACAAGGGAGGCGGUGUGUCUGCGUCAUCGCUGCCUCCCAAAGCCAGCAGCAGCUCUACUCCUGCAUCCGAGUGUCCCGUCUCUCUCCCGCUCCCUCCCCUUCUACGUCAGACUUCCUACGUAGCUCUUACUGGAGAUGCGUACUCUCCUCUCGGGUUGGACCGCAGCAUCCGGUGUCACGGGACUGAGAAUAAUGGGAUGAGCGGAGGGAGGAUGCUCUGGGGAGAAGCAGCCAGUUCUCACCCACCGCCCGUGGUUCCGCGUUGCGCUCUCUGAUGUCAAGCGCGGGUCUCUCUCUCUCUCGCGCGCGUCAUGAGACAAAACUUACACGCAUUCCUGCUGACUUGCUGCAUUGGGCUCAGGGCGCCUCAAUGUGCUCCCAAUAGCUUGCUGUUGACACUUUGGAAUGUGGAAUGUUUUACACAAAGCUGUGUUGCACGUCUCCUUUAGCUAAUUUCUCUUUGUCAGCUAUAUAUAUAUUACUUAAUUAUCCAGUUUCUAUGUUUUGUGUUGUAAAUGUUUUGCUUUGUUUAUUAUUAUUAUAUUAUUAUUAUUAGCCUUAUGUUGAAGAAAAGUCUUGGGUUUGUUGAAUCCAUCCACCUUCCCCACCUUCUUUUAAAUGAAGUUCUGCGUUGCCAGCUGACUGUCACAUUUUAUUUGUGUCCACCACAAAAAAAAAGGAUCCUAAUUGACUUUCCAUGUUUUUUUGGGCCAUCUGGUUGAAUAAACAUACAGACCCUGAAUCAACCUGUAGGCCGACAUGCUCACUGGUCAAAACUGUCCUUUCUGGUUAACUGAUUCAAACAGUUCAAAUCUCUAGUCUCGACCAAAUGGACUUACCAACCAAUAAACCACAUUCUUCUUAUCAUUUCACAAACAUUCUUAUUCAGCCUCAAGUCAAACUUAACUGGAUUUCCAUGUUCACUUAAGAUCAAUGGUUAAUUCCGUGGGAUGAAUCUGGAUGAGACAUACAAACAUUUGUGGACAGAGGUCUCAUCUUCUACUCAUGAACUGAACGCAUGAUGCCUCUCCUGUAACCUUGACGCUGUCAAUUGCAUCACAUUAAGCAGCUUUUCUCCUUUGAAGCUCCCAAUGCGCUGUACCAGGUGAGUCACAUUGAACACAUCGUGUGUGUGUGUGUGUGUGUCUUGGACACCAAGGACAACAAGCUUCUAUCUCCGGCCAUAAACAGAGGAUGUUCCCAGCAUGCCGUUGUCUCCCUGGAGGCUACAUAGGUCACACAAGACUGUCCUCAGUAAACAAUGAAUGAUGAAACAGGCCGGAAGUGAUGACUUCCCAAUCCGCAUGACUUGCAUACUACUUGUAGAGUUAUUUAUAAUUUGUUUUGUGGUUUAAAACACAGUUCUUGCUUUGUCAGAAGCAACCUUUUCUGAGAGGUUCUCGUUCCAAAGCAAGACAAGCUAAUUUUAGCUGUUUGUUGCCCCUCCAACCCCCUCCGGGUUUUUUAAAUGACGUUUUCAACCAAGGCUCCCUCACUGUCUCUCUAUGUGACCAGUGGAAUGGAUUAGAAUGAACUCGGCUCCCCUGUUGUUUGCCGUCCCUCAAUCUUGCUCUUUACUGGUUCAGGACCAGAUGUGACGAGCAGAUUUCAAUUUCCUUCUUUCCCAUACGUUCAAUCAUCCAAAAAAGUCAUUCCAGGAACUUUGAAGCGGUUCACUCUUCAAGUAAGAGAGAGACUUGUGAGGCGCGUGUGAGCAUCGCUGUAGCUCUCUCUCCUCGCGGCCACAGAGUGCCAGGUGGGACAGGCCCUGCAGGUGGGACAGACCCUGCAGGUGGGACGGAUCCUGCAGGUGUGACGGACCCUACAGGUGUGACGGACCCUGUAGGUGUGACGGACCCUGCGUUAGCCAUCGCUCUUGCCCCCACCCCAACCAGUUCACAAAGACAAACGCAAAUGAGCUGAGACCUAUUCAAAUCUGUUUAUAGCCGCUCUCUUUAUGGUUCACUCUAAAAGCAAAGCCACUGACAAAAUUGGCCCAAAACAUGAGAAGGGGCGGGGCAACGCCUUUGACGGACAGGCUUGACUGGCUUGACAUUUAAAGGUGUGGAGUAGAAGCCACCUGUGUUUGAGUUCAGAUUGACUCAUGCAACUCCAAGGAAAUGUCGCAGGCCGGUCUAAUGACUCUUUUUGUUGCAAGGAAAUACUUCCCAGAGAGGGAACUCUAUCAUGUCUUUAUUUACCAGAUUUACCACGUGAAUCAUUUGAUUAGAAGUUAUUCCAGAGUAUCCCAUGCAGCCAACUGGUGAUUAAACCACAUUAACCUCCCCAUUCAUUCCUACAAAGAUUUCCACAAAACAUAUUUUUAUUUUUAUUGCUCCAGCAAAAGAGUUGAUUUCUAUAUCCAGUGCAUUCAUUGUAAAGUGCUCUGUUUAGCAAAGAGUCAGCAAACAAACAGUCGGUGUCUCAUCGAAAAAGCGUCCCAAGGACUGUGAAGGGCAGUGGAGUUUAUGUAGUUUGUGCAUUUGUUUUUAAGAUUGUGCUUAUUUGCAACAAUUUUUCAAAAUGUCAAAAAACAAGUGAGUGCCCUACUCCCCUAUUAUGUCCUGGUGCUGUAUUAAACAUUAUAUUGUUUGUAUUUAACAUAUGGAUAUGUAUUAAACUGGUAUUUGUUGAUACAAAUUAUCAAAAUUAUAGAAAAGAAAUUUGCAAUUGCAAAAAAAGAGAUGAAUAAAAAGGUUAAAUCUUACCCCCGUGCCCCCCCCAGACCUGAUUUCGGGAAACUACAGAUAUAUUGAACGUUUUUGCAUAUGGAUGGCACCCAGACCAAGUGACCUCGAAUGACAAUUAUUGGAAGUUACGUAUAUAUAAUUAGGGGCAAUGUGUCUUGCUUAGGGACACUUCGAAAUGGGACAUGGAGCAGCUGGGGCUCAAACAACCAACCUUGCGGUUCCCAGCGCACCCUCUCUACCCAUUUGCCACAUCCUGCCCUUCAGUGGGUUUAAGGGUCCACUCAUUUACACAAGUUCAGGCCCGCACCAACAGGCUCUCACCGGAUUCUAGUAAUAAACAUGGCAUCUCUACAUACAUGUGAGCUCUUCCCAGCCCUUAUCUGUUGAGACAAAUUUGUCUUAGCGUUGUUGGAAAAAUCAGGCUAGGCACUGUUGUAUUGAUCCAUGCGCUUCCAUUUUCUGUCUGACAAGCCAUGAUGUGAAGGAACUGCUCCUCCCUGGGGGGAGUCCUCUUGAUUUCAGCUGAGUGAGACAGGGUUGUGAACUAAAGACCCGCUGGUCUGACUGAUGGGUUUGACCGUCCAUGUGCGGUCAGCUUUCUCUGCACUCACAGGAAAUGUACUCAUCAUCAUCCCCACUCUCCCGUUCUGUGGUGAUCAGGUCAGAAUGUGCAAUCUGGAGACACCAUUUCACACUAAAUCUAAUAUACUCGAUGUGCUCAGUUUAUGGAAUAUCGCUGGUAUCCGACCAGAUUUCAUUAUAUCAUCACAGUUGAAGAAAGGUUGACAUUUUGUAUUCAAAGCCACUUCCAAAGAAGUAGAAAAAAUCGGAACAGUACUUAUGUACCCAACAAUAUUUGCACAGUGCCUUCUUAUGAAUUGGUGUUUUGUUACGGAAGAAAGCCAACAACAACAGAAUUGUUCUGAUAAUUUUCUCAAAAGAAAUCUGUAAAAAUCUUUAUUUAGAGUGCAUGUUUGAUACCUUUUUUUUGCAUUGAAUCAUACCUACAAAAAAAAAAAUCCACCAGCCGCCACUGCCAGCUACUGUAGUAAAUCAACUGACUUUGCACUCAUUGGAGCUCAUUCACCAAAUGUUCUUAAGAACAAAUUUGUGCUUAAUCUCCAGUUACACAGUUUUCACGAAGAUUUUGGCAUUCACCACCACAGGGCUCUCAGACAAAAUGUCACUCCAAGGUUUCUUGAAAAGUUAAAAAGCCCUGCCAAUGUUUUCUUAUUUGGGAUUUGUUCCUAGGUAAGAACACAAUUUACGCACACCCAAGAGCACUCUUACACAAAAUUGAGAGCUGACAUGUUGGCGCAAAAUAAUUAGUUGAACCGUUCUCCAGAUAUAGCAUUCACUGAAUGGGUAAUUGUAUUUUAUGCCUCGGUUUCAUUUACCGCUUUGUAGCCACUGCUGACGCUACUAAAUAUGAUACUUACUUCUUGUAGCUUUAUCUCCACAAAAUUUCUGGAGAUUUUUUAUCUUUUGGAGUCGAGGCCUCCAACGUCUUUCUUAUUUCUCAUUACUGCCACCUCAUACCCUUUUAUGGGAAUUAACGGGGCGUUAACCUUUGCUAAAUGGGUCACCAACAUCUUUCCAAGAGUGUUUGAGUUUCCUAAACAUUUAUUUGCCUUAAUCACAAUGAUUGUACAAGCUUGGAAACACUGUGGUAUAUUAGAAUAUUUUAGAAAUAGAUAGGUAAUUAGAGCCAAACAUUAUAGAGCACACAUAUCCAAGGCAAUAGUAUUGGAGCAAUAUGCAUUGAUAUCAUUUUGCUACUGAUUUUGGUUGGUGAAGGAGAUAAAAGUCCUGUUUCUUCUGGCCUGAUGGUAAAUCCCACAUGCAAAUUCCUCAUUUUGUCUUCAAUUAGUACUCGUCAGAUGACAAAAAUAUCUCAGUCCAGAGGCCAUCUGUAAUGCAAAAAAAUGAAAACGGAUAUGAAGUAUCAUGUGCUCAAUAAAUUAUGCAUUUGAAAAAAAAACAUUAGUGAGCCUCCACUGAUGGACGGGGGAGACUUGACCCCCUCGGCCCACUGAGUGGGGAUGGCAGCUCAAACGCCCGAGUAUGUCUCUGACCGUGCGUUCUUGUGGGUGUGUGUAUCGAUUAUAGAGGAAGCAUUAGUUUGCUGGUUAUUAAUAGCCGGAGGAGGGAAGCCUAAUCAUAGCAGGAUCAUUACUACCAUAAUAGACCUUCUUCCUGCUUGUCUGUCUGACUGAUGGAGUGCGGGUGUGUGUGUCCUGUGUCUAUGUGCCUGUCUUCUGCUCCAUUUAUCUAUCUCUUUCUUUCUAUCACAAACACGCAGACGCCCACAAAGACAUAAAUGGAUUGAUGCUGGAUUGUCUACACUAGACAAAACAUACAUUGUAUCGCCAUAAUUGUGUGUAUUUUCUCUGUCUCUACUCUGUAUGAGCUCCCUCUGCUCUUUUCCACUCACAAUGUUCUGACAGAGACUGCGCCAAUCACCUCCCUCGCACUGGUCCCUUGAGGCGACAAAUUAUUCAUAAACUACUUCCUAUCUUCACAGAUAUGCUUUCAAAAAGCUUUUCCUUGUCCACCAUUUAAGCUGCAUUAAGGGUGAGCAGCGAGUGCGCGUGCACACAUGUGUGCAUGGAGAGUAUCUUGCUGCUUAGCUGAGAGAGGUUGAUGCAGAGUCCUCCCCUCCGGCUUACAUCUCAAAGUAGCUGUGUGCAUCUCUUUUGUGCUCUCGAAGCCCACUGCGGUCCAACUCCCACUUCCCUUUACAGGAAAGGCAGAGGCAGAAAAUAAGCAAGAGGAGAAUUUUACCCUUUUUUUUAAAAUGUUCUGUUCCAUCCCCAUAAUUCUUCACUUUUGUCUAUUAAUAUCAGCCGAUUAAACUGUUUUCUCUAAUGGAGAGCCACUUCCAGCGUCCCACAUGCAGGUGGACUCUGCACACAUAUCCUGUUUUAAAGCUCAAUAUUCAGCAGCUACGCGGCCUGAGGCGCAGCUUGACCCGAGUGUCUCAGGGUAAACGGCUGUUUAACAAUACAGAGUGCCUUUGUUCAUUUAAAUGUGUAUGCAUAUCGAUAAAUAUGCUAACUAUAGGAUUGAUUGUUCUAUGAAUUAACAAUGUUAAGAAGAGUGUUGGUCUGGAAACAUUAAGCCAAUGUGGAAAAGUCACAUUUUCAGUUUUAGAAACUGGUAUUUCAAAAGAUUGGUUUAACAAAUUCAUGCGUAUUGCAGCUACAACAGUGAGAAUUAGGGCAUGUUUUGUUUCUUUAAAUGAUUUUAUGUAGAAGGGUCUGUGAUCAAUGCGUUUGUGUUUGCGUGUGGAUGGCAAAAGUGUUUUCAAAAAGACAGCCUCACAGUGAUGGAUGUAUGGACGUUAAAGUGCUCUUUCCGCCCCUAUAGAUGUAUAAAGAGAGCUGGAUACAUGUUCCUUCAUUAAAAGCGCUCGGUUGCACAUGAAGCCUAAAUGGAUGGACUGCUGAGUGAUACAAUUACUUGAGUCUUCAAGUGAUCUUCCACCUCUGUGGGUCCCAUAAAGCAAGCGCUUAGUGUUUAUUUUGACCUCGAUUUCCGGUUCAUUCACAUGAAUGAAUUUUUUACAGUUCUUACAACGUCAUUGGCGCCUUUUCAAAUGUUGGUUCAUCUGAGUUGCACUAUUUACACUAGAACAAUAAGGCAAUGUCAUAUUUGAUCUUGAUUCACAUUUUUGUAUUUUUCUCUCACGCUUUGAUAGAACCGAACAAAACUUUUCACACCCGGAAGUCGGAGACUGAAUAUUUGCUUUAAAGCCCAACAAGCCCCCUAUAGAUAUCCAUCCUUCCAGCAAGGAACAAGGAAGACGGUUCCGGUGUUGCGCUCUUUGUUCAGAGGGUUUGUCCUGAUCAACACACACACACACACACACACACACACACACACACACACACACACACACACACACACACACUAGUUGGAACAACGAGGAAACAGGAUGUAUUUUUGCUAGUUUUCAGCGAGUAGUCGUCGCCCCCACCCUCCUCCAUCCUGGAGGUUUUCCUGUUCUGGGUUGUAAGAGUAUGUAAACACACUCACUCAAACAUGCAUAAACAUGGAAACAUGGAUGCUCCCCCGUGCUCCGAUGAACAGGUGGGCACACGGCCACGCAAACACACAGAUGUUCACGCUAAGACAAAUACCGACAUGCACACCUUCCGUCCCACAAAUAGUCAACAAGUUUUGUGUUGAUGAAGAAAAAAAAGUCAAUUUCCCCUCCAGCUUCCUCUGAGGAUGUGACAGCGGAUUGGACGUUUUCCUGUGGACAUGCAAAGACAAUGUCAGCACGAGUGGCCAAUAACCUCUGAGCCACACUCACAGAAAACACAGCAGCUCCACUUCCACAGCACUUUGAUUCUAAAGGUGGUUACAGGAACUGCAAACACGAGUCGUGGCUUCAGCGCCACUUCCCCUUCUUCAGAAAACAGAUGAGGCAACCGGGUCACAGAGUUUGUGGCUCGAUGUUUACUGAAUACCUCCAUGUGUUUCAUCCUGUUGAAUUGGGAUUCCUUUAAUCAGUAUUUCUUGAUAUUUUCAUAAAAAACACAACUCAACUGAGCACUCUUUGGAAAUAUAUUCUUACAUUUUUGUGUUUUAUGAUUAUUAAUUUAAUUUUUGUAUGUUUACGAAAGUUUAAUUUAAUAAUAAGUAUUAUACUAAUAAUAGUAAUGCUUUAAUACGUUUUCUAUAGCGUUUUUCUUGGUACCCAAAGGAGCUUUACAAUGUAAGUAAGGCAAACGUACAGAUAAGAGGAAGACAGAAACACCAAAAAAAGAAAACUGGAGAAUGAGUUACAUACUCGAUUAACCUUAAGUGUCAACUUGGGUUAGGUUUUAGUAACAGAUCGUCAUUUGGGCUUUAAUAACCCCAGUGAAGUACGACAGUUACGUGACAAAAUAUCAAUAUUGACUUACUUACACCAAGGAAGCUACUUCCUGUUCUGAACAGCAAAGCCAACGAAGUAGUGCCAUAAAACUGACAUUUAGUUGGCGACUGCUUUGGUUACAAAGGAAACUUCUCACUUGAUUUAGUAUCUUAGCAAACAUUGUAAACUUGAGUUCAUGGUCUCAAUCGGUCUCGAUGUAAUUUAGAAUCUAUGCCGUCUCUAUGUCACUACUCCAUAUUCUAAAUAUGUGUCCAUUCCAAGAUGGCAACAACAAAAAUGUUGAACUCAAAGCUUGAAAACAUCAGUCCACCAGCCACUGGGUGUCGAGAUCUUUCCACUCAAUCGACACUU